This 199-nucleotide microRNA precursor is filed under the name Oryza sativa Indica Group (long-grained rice). Its description in RNAcentral is "MIR812 microRNA precursor family". It matches the Rfam family "MIR812 microRNA precursor family". Lineage: Eukaryota; Viridiplantae; Streptophyta; Magnoliopsida; Poales; Poaceae. The record is from Rfam by way of RNAcentral.
UAUAAAUGUAAGUAUCAGUUUCUACGUCUAAUCAUCCGUCUUAUUUAAAUUUUUUUUAUAAUUAGUAUAUUUUAUUAUUAUAAGAUGAUAAAACAUGAAUAGUAUUUUACUCGUGACUUAUGUUUUAAUUUUUUUAAAAAAAAAAUUAAAUAAGACAAACUAUUAAAAUUGGGCGUGGAAAACUACGACUAUAUUUAAA